GGGCGGGGGGCUGAGCCCGGGGGUGGAGGAAGGCGGCGGCGUGGCCCCGGGGGUGCAGGAGGCGGGGGGCUUGGCGGAGGGGGUGCAAGAAGCGGGGCUGGGAGCCCGGGGCCAGGAGCUGGUGACCGGCGGGAGGGCACCGGAGGGCGGCGGCGGCGGCGGCGGGGCCGGGCGGCCGGGGCAGUGGCAGCGGGUGCUGCUGGGGGUGCGCGCGGGGCUGCAGGAGCGCGGCGACCGGCCGGUGCCCACCGUGGGCACCAAGCCCCCGCCGGGCUUGCGGCGCCCCCGCGAGCAGCAGGGGGCUCCCAGGGGGCGGCCGAGCCCCGGCGAGCCUCGGGUGGGCGUGCGGAGGGCGAGGGGGGCCGAAGGGGACAGCCCCGGGGCCAGGAGGGUCCGGGCGGGUGGGCGCGGGGUGCAGGAGCGCGGCCCCAAAGCGCGGCAGGAGCAGGGCCCGAGCCGCAGGGCGCAGCAGGAGCGCGGCGCCCGCAGGGACAGCGGCAGCCCCCCGGGGCGAGCCCGCUGGUGGGUGCGCAGGGGUCGGCAGGAGGAAGGGGAGGCGCUGGGUGGGGUGCAGGAGGAGGGCGAGCGCUACCACGGGGAGCAGGAGCAGCCCCCCGGCACGUGGCCCCCGCGACGACGCCAGGCCAGGGUGUGAAGGCGGAGACCCCGCCGAGCGCGCCCCCCCCCGCCAUGCCGCCCGCCCGCGGCCCUCCUCGCCCCGCCGACGCCACCACGCCGGCACCGGACACCCGGCGAGGGAUGCCACGGCCGUGAGCGUCGAGGUAAGGGGCGACGCGGGCACCGGGACCGCUGGCAGAGGCGGUGCGGCGCUGGCACCGUGCCCUGCAGCACUGCGGGCAUCCCCGGCAGCAGGCACCAGGGAUGCUCGCCCUCGGUCGGUCCCCCUGCUCCCCUCCACCGAGGUUUGGUGUCUGAACCCGCAGCGGAAGCCGGGGGAAGGAUUCCUUUUUUUUUUUUCUUUUUUUUUUUUUUUCCUUUUGCUCUGCUCUUCCUCCUC
This 1018-nucleotide long non-coding RNA is filed under the name Anser brachyrhynchus (Pink-footed goose). RNAcentral describes it as "lncRNA (ENSABRG00000016012.1)". Lineage: Eukaryota; Metazoa; Chordata; Aves; Anseriformes; Anatidae. The record is from RNAcentral.